Molecule: ribosomal RNA, 424 nt
Filed under: uncultured bacterium
Lineage: Bacteria
Description: bacterial SSU rRNA
Rfam family: Bacterial small subunit ribosomal RNA
Source: RNAcentral
UGAGGAAUAUUGGUCAAUGGGCGCAAGCCUGAAUCAGCCAUCCCGCGUGCAGGAAGACGGCCCUAUGGGUUGUAAACUGCUUUUCCAGGGGGAGAAACUUGCGCACGUGUUGCGCAAUUGACGGUACCCUGGGAAUAAGCAUCGGCUAACUCCGUGCCAGCAGCCGCGGUAAUACGGAGGAUGCGAGCGCUAUCCGGAUUCAUUGGGUUUAAAGGGUGCGUAGGCGGACUAUUAAGUCAGUGGUGAACUCCUGCAGCUUAACUGCAGAACUGUCAUUGAUACUGAUAGCCUUGAGUUUGGUUAAGGUAGGCAGAAUGUGUAAUGUAGCGGUGAAAUGCUUAGAUAUUACACCUAACACCAAUUGCGUAGGCAGCUUACUGAGCCGACACUGACGCUGAGGCACGAAAGCGUGGGGAUCGAACAG